UCUCCUCUGCUGCCUGCCGUGCUCCCCUCGCGACGGAAUGCGCGCCUCCGCCGCCGCCACCGUGCAGCGCGCGGGUUCUUCGCCGUUGUUGCUUCUGCUGCCGGUGCCAGCAGCCACGGGCGCGCUGCCGCUGCUGCGGCCGUAGCAGCGAUGGAGGGGAGAGGACUACUCCCGAUACAAUUAGGAGAGCGGCUCAUUUGCGCGCGCGAUCAAUGCGAGACGCGCAACACGAGACCUAAAUCACGCUCCUCGGCCCGCCGCCGCUCCUUGGAUCGUAGCAGACGAAAAAUGUGCAACCGCAUGCGGAGCGCGGUGCGAGACCUCGCUGCCCUGGGGGCGAAACGGCGCGGUCGGUGACGCGUCGCGAUCAACGGCUGGCUGGCUGCUGCCCGACGAAGCGGCGGCUACGUGACAGCGCAGAGCAAGUGGCAGCUGGAUGGGCGCCCGGGAGAGUCACCGACAGCCGCGAACAAUGGCUCCUCUCGGGUGCGCAGUUGCCGUCGAGUUUCCUGUCCUCGGAACAGAGCUCUGCGUGGCUUGCAUGUAAAGAAGAACCUUGCUGACCGGUUCCAGACAACCAGUGAGCACCAUGAUCACCAAGGCAGUCACUUAGUAGGCUGCCGAGUAUGCAACAACUGAUGAUGAUCAAGCUGCUUUAUCACCAUCAGGUGACAACGCCAGGUGAGAACAUCAGGAGACUGUAGGAGACCUCCCACGUUCAGUAGAACCGGGGCUUACCCUGGGAUACUGUUUCGUAAAUAAACGUUUAUUGCUCCUC
RNAcentral lists this long non-coding RNA (778 nucleotides) under Dermacentor andersoni. RNAcentral describes it as "uncharacterized LOC126545891". Lineage: Eukaryota; Metazoa; Arthropoda; Arachnida; Ixodida; Ixodidae. The record is from RNAcentral.